UCAUUUUUAAUGGCUUGCAUGGCAUCGGCUGUGCCCCUGAGCUGUAAUGAAGCACUCUGCAAGUCCCCGCACGCGAGUCAGAAAUGAAUCUCACAGAGAGGAACAUGCUGGAACGCUAACAGGUUUUAAUCCCAGAAAGCGCAUUGAAAAGGACAGCUUGUCAUUGCUUAUUUGAACUCCCUUCAUCAUUUUGAAGACUGUAAUGAAAUGUCCAGUGUGUCUCCUUUCUCCAACUUAAAUAAAGUUCCACUAGCUGUCCCUCAAGGACCUAUUUCCCUUCAAUUUUUAAAUACUAUUAGCAAGAAGAGACCAGGUUAGGCUCACAUAUAGAUUCAAUUAAUCAAACCAAGAAGAAGGGGCCAAAAUUUGCAUCCUGCUUGGAAAUUUGGAUCUUCAUCUACCAAGUCUUUUAAACUGUGUGGUAGAUUUUUAGCUUAAGAAAUAAGUAAGAAACUGAAACCACCAGCAGACAAGAAUGAAUAUUCAAAAGAUGUAUUUUGAUUUCAUGAGUUGAAUGAAGAAAAACCAUCAUUUGUAUUGACUGAUUUUCUCUGGCAAGAAUACACAGAAGAAUUAGACAAAAAAGAUCUUCAAGACCCAGAUAAUCACAAUGGUGUGAUCACUCACCUAGAGCCAGACAUCUGGAAUGCAAAGUCAAGUGGACCUU
Long non-coding RNA from Cervus elaphus (red deer), 667 nucleotides. RefSeq lists it as uncharacterized. The record is from RefSeq and is a predicted model, not a curated record. The transcript is spliced from 4 exons. NCBI's taxonomy places the organism in Eukaryota, Metazoa, Chordata, Mammalia, Artiodactyla, Cervidae.